This 498-nucleotide ribosomal RNA is filed under the name Blastocystis sp. subtype 3. RNAcentral describes it as "partial small subunit ribosomal RNA". It matches the Rfam family "Bacterial small subunit ribosomal RNA", at positions 772 to 1232 of the family's 1533-position model. Lineage: Eukaryota; Bigyra; Opalinata; Blastocystidae. The record is from RNAcentral.
ACGGAAUAGGACCUGGUAGUCAUGCUAUAAACAAUGAAUAUUAAAUAUUAAAUUUUAUAGUUAAAAUAUUUAUUGAAAUUUAUUUUUAUAAAAUAUUUUAAUAUUUUGAGAAAAAUUUAAUAUUAAAAGUUAACACGUUAAAUAUUCCGCCUGGGGAGUAAAACCGCAAGGUUGAAACUCAAAGGAUUUGACGGGAGCUUAUACUUACGGUGGAGCAUGUGGUUUAAUCCGAUAGUCCGCGUGAAAUCUUACCAAUUUUUGACAAUUUAUAGUUUUAUAAAUAAUACAGGUGUUGCAUGGCCGUCGUUAGCUUAUGUUGUGAAAUUUAUGAUAUAAGUAUAACCCUUAUUUUAAUUUGCUAAUAUUUAAAAGUUAAAAUAAAUUUUUUAUUUUAUAGUAAAUAUGCACUAUUAAAAAAAAUAUGUAAAAAUAUUUUUAAAGGAUGAAGAUAGGUCGUUAUGACCCUUAUAAAUUGGGCUACACAUUGGUGCUACACAA